UCGACGAAGCUUGACGAAUGAUUUCUUCGGAAUGAAAUCUGAUAUAACUGAGUGGCGGACGGGUGAGUAACGCGUGAGCAACCUGCCCUUCGGAACGGGAUAGUGUCUGGAAACGGACAGUAAUACCGUAUAACGUAUUUUUACCGCAUGAUAGAAAUACCAAAACUGAGGUGCCGAAGGAUGGGCUCGCGUCUGAUUAGAUAGUUGGUGGGGUAACGGCCUACCAAGUCGACGAUCAGUAGCCGGACUGAGAGGUUGAACGGCCACAUUGGGACUGAGACACGGCCCAGACUCCUACGGGAGGCAGCAGUGGGGAAUAUUGCACAAUGGGGGAAACCCUGAUGCAGCAACGCCGCGUGAAGGAAGACGGUUUUCGGAUUGUAAACUUCUGUUCUUAGUGAAGAAUAAUGACGGUAGCUAAGGAGCAAGCCACGGCUAACUACGUGCCAGCAGCCGCGGUAAUACGUAGGUGGCAAGCGUUGUCCGGAAUUACUGGGUGUAAAGGGAGCGUAGGCGGGAUGCCAAGUCAGCUGUGAAAACUAUGGGCUUAACCUGUAGACUGCAGUUGAAACUGGUAUUCUUGAGUGAAGUAGAGGUUGACGGAAUUCCGAGUGUAGCGGUGAAAUGCGUAGAUAUUCGGAGGAACACCGGUGGCGAAGGCGGCCAACUGGGCUUUAACUGACGCUGAGGCUCGAAAGUGUGGGGAGCAAACAGGAUUAGAUACCCUGGUAGUCCACACUGUAAACGAUGA
This 751-nucleotide ribosomal RNA is filed under the name uncultured bacterium. Its description in RNAcentral is "bacterial SSU rRNA". It matches the Rfam family "Bacterial small subunit ribosomal RNA", at positions 62 to 812 of the family's 1533-position model. The record is from RNAcentral.